Suricata suricatta (meerkat) is the source of this 210-nucleotide long non-coding RNA. RefSeq lists it as uncharacterized. NCBI's taxonomy places the organism in Eukaryota, Metazoa, Chordata, Mammalia, Carnivora, Herpestidae. The record is from RefSeq and is a predicted model, not a curated record. The transcript has 2 exons.
CUCGUUGCCAUGGGGACGCGGCCGGAACUCGCCGCCGCUGCGGAGGGCGCCCUGGGUUCUCGGCACAGCUCUGGGAGUUAGGCGGAGCAGACAGGAUUGUCUCCCUGUAUAGGGAGGAGGAAAUAGCUCCUAAGCCAGGGAAGGUGGAUGGAACCGAGUGGCUGAUUCCAAAUUCUUUUCAUUUUUCACUAAAUUCCGAGGUUAAUUGUU